Molecule: long non-coding RNA, 391 nt
Organism: Spinacia oleracea (spinach)
Lineage: Eukaryota; Viridiplantae; Streptophyta; Magnoliopsida; Caryophyllales; Amaranthaceae
Exons: 2
Source: RefSeq, a predicted model, not a curated record
AAAUAGGUUUAGGAUGUAUUUAGAAUACGUUAGUGUUGCUGUAAAUUAUUAGGAAUUGAUUUGGGUACGUUUCUUGAUUAUUUUAGGCGGAGAAUUCUUUGUGGGCGACUUUUGAAUUCGUUAAAGUGGCCUAUCAGUUUGUUUACACAAGUCUCUAAGGAUCAAUAAGCAUUGUCCAUCUGCAGGUUUGAAGAUGUUGCAUCAUUGGGAUCGGGAAUAGAGAGCUUGUAUUUAGUUUUGAUUUGCUAAGUUAACUUGGGUUUGUUAAUUGGGACUUUAAACUUGUCGUACUAUUUAUAUUUCCUUAUUUUCGUUGGAUGAUUCUUGGGGACUAAAUCUGUAAUAGAUUAUUUAUAAACCUAAAGUUAGUUUUAUGUUUUCCGCUGCAAAA